Molecule: ribosomal RNA, 253 nt
Filed under: uncultured bacterium
Lineage: Bacteria
Description: partial 16S ribosomal RNA
Rfam family: Bacterial small subunit ribosomal RNA
Source: RNAcentral
CACGUAGGGUGCGAGCGUUGUCCGGAAUUACUGGGCGUAAAGGGAAUGUAGGUGGUGAUGUAAGUCAGAUGUGAAAGCCCUGGGCUUAACCUGGGAAGUGCAUUUGAUACUGCAUCGCUUGAGUACGAGAGAGGAAAGCGGAAUUUCCAGUGUAGGAGUGAAAUCCGUAGAUAUUGGAAGGAAUACCGAUGGCGAAGGCAGCUUUCUGGCUCGUAACUGACACUGAGAUUCGAAAGCGUGGGUAGCAAACAGG